This 774-nucleotide ribosomal RNA is filed under the name uncultured Neocallimastigales. RNAcentral describes it as "partial large subunit ribosomal RNA". It matches the Rfam family "Eukaryotic large subunit ribosomal RNA", at positions 20 to 616 of the family's 3401-position model. Lineage: Eukaryota; Fungi; Neocallimastigomycota; Neocallimastigomycetes; Neocallimastigales. The record is from RNAcentral.
UACUAGAGUAGCACUCGCAUAUCAAUAAGCGGAGGAAAAGAAACUAACAAGGAUUCCCCUAGUAACGGCGAGUGAAGCGGGAAGAGCUCAAAUUUGAAAUCUUAAAGGGUUUCCCUUUACGAAUUGUAGUUUAAAGAAGUGUUUUCUGUUGAGGUUUUGGUAAAAGCUCUUUGGAAUAGGACAUCAUAGAGGGUGAGAAUCCCGUAUUUGACCUUUACUUUCAACUUUGUGAUACACUUUCAAAGAGUCGGAUUGUUUGGGAAUGCAGUCCAAAAUGGGUGGUAAAUUUCAUCUAAAGCUAAAUAUUGGCGAGAGACCGAUAGCGAACAAGUACCGUGAGGGAAAGAUGAAAAGAACUUUGAAAAGAGAGUUAAACAGUACGUGAAAUUGUCAAAAGGGAAGCGUUUGACACCAGUGUUGUCUUUCUGAAAAUCAAUUAAAGAACUGUUUAUGCUAAGUUGUUUAGACUUUAUCAGCUAACUGUUUAGUUUUGAGCUUUUCUUUAAUGCACUUUUCAGUUAACAAGUCAACAUCAAUUUCUUUUGCUGUAAAAAAGCUUGAGGAAGGUGGCUUGAGAUUCGUCUUAAGUGUUUAUAGCCUCUUGCCUAUGCAGUCGGAGAGAUUGAGGUCUGCAGCGUAGAUCCUUCGGGGCUAAGUGCAUUUGUGCUAAGUUAUAGCAUUUUAUAGACAACUUGUUGACUAUGAUUUGUCUUGUAGCUUACUCGCUUAUGUUAUUUUACCUACGCUUAGGAUGUUGAGCGCAUGUCUCUCUCU